UGAACGCUGGCGGCGUGCCUAACACAUGCAAGUCGAACGAAGCACCUUACCUGAUUCUUCGGAUGAAAGUUUGGUGACUGAGUGGCGGACGGGUGAGUAACGCGUGGGUAACCUGCCCUGUACAGGGGGAUAACAGCUGGAAACGGCUGCUAAUACCGCAUAAGCGCACGAGGAGACAUCUCCUUGUGUGAAAAACUCCGGUGGUACAGGAUGGGCCCGCGUCUGAUUAGCUGGUUGGCAGGGUAACGGCCUACCAAGGCAACGAUCAGUAGCCGGUCUGAGAGGAUGAACGGCCACAUUGGAACUGAGACACGGUCCAAACUCCUACGGGAGGCAGCAGUGGGGAAUAUUGCACAAUGGGGGAAACCCUGAUGCAGCAACGCCGCGUGAGUGAAGAAGUAUUUCGGUAUGUAAAGCUCUAUCAGCAGGGAAGAUAAUGACGGUACCUGACUAAGAAGCGCCGGCUAAAUACGUG
RNAcentral lists this ribosomal RNA (475 nucleotides) under uncultured bacterium. RNAcentral describes it as "partial 16S ribosomal RNA". It matches the Rfam family "Bacterial small subunit ribosomal RNA", at positions 30 to 507 of the family's 1533-position model. The record is from RNAcentral.